RNAcentral lists this ribosomal RNA (253 nucleotides) under uncultured bacterium. Its description in RNAcentral is "partial 16S ribosomal RNA". It matches the Rfam family "Bacterial small subunit ribosomal RNA", at positions 524 to 776 of the family's 1533-position model. The record is from RNAcentral.
UACAGAGGUCUCAAGCGUUGUUCGGAUUCAUUGGGCGUAAAGGGUGCGUAGGCGGUUGGGUAAGUCUGUCGUGAAAUCUCCGAGCCUAACUCGGAAACUGCGUCGGAUACUAUUCAACUCGAGGAAUGGAGGGGAGACUGGAGUUCUCGGUGUAGCAGUGAAAUGCGUAGAUAUCGAGAGGAACACCAGUGGCGAAGGCGAGUCUCUGGACAUUUCCUGACGCUGAGGCACGAAAGCCAGGGGAGCAAACGGG